UAGCUCAGUGAUAGAGCACAUGUUUUACAUGUAUGUGGCCUUGGUUUGAUCCCAAG
Molecule: transfer RNA, 56 nt
Filed under: Erinaceus europaeus (western European hedgehog)
Lineage: Eukaryota; Metazoa; Chordata; Mammalia; Eulipotyphla; Erinaceidae
Rfam family: tRNA
About the family: Transfer RNA (tRNA) molecules are approximately 80 nucleotides in length.
Source: Rfam by way of RNAcentral